AGCGAACGCUGGCGGCAGGCUUAACACAUGCAAGUCGAACGCAUCCUUCGGGGUGAGUGGCAGACGGGUGAGUAACACGUGGGAACGUACCCUUCGAUCUGGGAUAACUUCGGGAAACUGGAGCUAAUACCGGAUACGCCCUUUUGGGGAAAGGUUUACUGUCGAAGGAUCGGCCCGCGUCGGAUUAGCUAGUUGGUGGGGUAACGGCCUACCAAGGCGACGAUCAGUAGCUGGUCUGAGAGGAUGGUCAGCCACACUGGGGCUGAGACACGGCCCAGACUCCUAGGGGAGGCAGGAGUGGGGAAUAUUGGACAAUGGGGGGAAGCAUGAUGCAGCCAUGCCGGGGGAGUGAUGAAGGCCGUAGGGUUGUAAAGCUCUUUUGUCCGGGACGGUAAUGACGGUACCGGAAGAAUAAGCCCCGGCUAACUUCGUG
This 433-nucleotide ribosomal RNA is filed under the name uncultured bacterium. RNAcentral's name for it is "partial 16S ribosomal RNA". It matches the Rfam family "Bacterial small subunit ribosomal RNA", at positions 29 to 507 of the family's 1533-position model. The record is from RNAcentral.